Amaranthus tricolor (Joseph's coat) is the source of this 1659-nucleotide long non-coding RNA. RefSeq lists it as uncharacterized. The transcript is spliced from 2 exons. The record is from RefSeq and is a predicted model, not a curated record. Lineage: Eukaryota; Viridiplantae; Streptophyta; Magnoliopsida; Caryophyllales; Amaranthaceae.
AAGGAAUAAAAGCCCUUUUACCAUCUGUCUCCUGGAAAAAAUGUUAUCUACUGGUGUCGCAUCUUUGCCACUACAAUUUGGGAGCACUCCACUCCCAAACCAGAACCCAUCACCUUCAUUCUUCUACCCAUCUCAAAAGCUCCAUGAAAAAUCCCCAAUUAAUGUACAUUAUAAUUUUCCUAAUAAAAUUAAUCUCUCAAAAUUACUCAUAUUUAAUGUAAAUUGCUCUUCCAGCAGCCAAGGGUUGGGUUCAUCACCUGAUCAAAAUAUUUCUCCGGAAGGACAAAAACAGGUUUCUCUCUAUCCUUAGCUGCUAGAUUUGUUAUCAAUGAUUCUUAUUGUUAAUUUUUAUUUCAGGAGCAAAAAAAUGUGGGAUUUUAAGAGAAAUGGAAGGUAAACCCCCCUUCUGCAAUACUCUCCCACACACAAAGAAAGGAAAAACAUGGGAAAAAAAAUUCAACUAAAAUACCAACUUUAGUUAAUCUUCUUUCAUUAGUCCUAAUUAGGCGGGUUCAAUGGACCGGGUUUAAGUAAAAACGGGCCGGGCCGAACCGAAUAAGGAUCCUUUAAAAUUAAUAUGGGAUUUAAAAGGGCCGGGCUUUCAAAGCUCAGUCCGGCCCAACCCAGUCCAUUUUUACAAAAAAAAUUUAUUUUAAUCUCCAAUUAUCAAUUUAUAAUAAUUAAAUUACCAUUUAUAAUAAGUAGAUAGAAAAAAUAUUAAUAAUUUCAUUAACAUUGUCAUUUAUAAUAUCCGUUAUUGAGCCCUUUUAUAGCCUGUUUUAUUUUAAUUAUAAUAUAGCCCAUUUUCAGUCCAGCUCUUACAAAGCCCUUCCAGAAACGGGCCGGAUAAGAGCUCAAAAUGGGGCCCAGCCUAUUGAUUUCAGAGCUUUGACUAUUGCUUAAAAAUUUGUUUGAGUUGGUUUCAUUAUAUCAGAAGCCAACCUGACGAAACGUCACGGGAAGUGUAAUAUUUAGGGCCACAUACGAAGAAGGUGUUGGUCUCUUGACAAGUCCCUACUAUUAUGAGGAUACAAUUGCAGAAUAUUCGAUUAGUAGUAGAGUUUAUCCAAAGUGAAACUUCUAUUAAUCUAUUAAUCAACAAAAAAAUUGGGAUAAUUACUGUAAAAAGAUUCCCAGAGAUAAAAAUUAGUACUUUUGAAGUUUGGAUACCCAUAAGCAAAUUUUUGUGAUAAAGAUUUGAUCUUAAUGUACAUUAUACAUACUUAUAUUUGGAAAUGGGAUACGCAAAUUCAACAAAGAUGAGUGCUUAACUGGCAAAGUUAGGACUGGCAGCUGUGCUUGCUUAUGGGUUGUUUGAUGGAGUCACUUACAACACUUUCUUUGUAAUGUCAUUCUUUGGAUAUGAGAAGAGCACUGGCAAGAAUCCUGCAGCUAAUUUCAAAGCACUUAUUGGGUAUAGACCUCAAUAAGCUCUCACAUUGGUGGUUCUCGGCCCAUUAAGAUGUUCAACCGCCUAGUGCCUCCAGAAAACAAGGGCCUCAUAUAUUAAAAAAUUCCCUGUAGUUCACUUCAUCAGUUAAAUGUAGCUCAGUUGGUAGCAUGUUUCCUGUGAUAUUUUUGGACAAGGGUUUGAAACUUACUAAUGUUAAAUUUUAGUUCUAUUAUACCUAUUUGAUAAUAAGAACUACUUUUUGUUUA